Molecule: ribosomal RNA, 384 nt
Filed under: Ampelomyia conicocoricis
Lineage: Eukaryota; Metazoa; Arthropoda; Insecta; Diptera; Cecidomyiidae
Description: partial 12S ribosomal RNA
Source: RNAcentral
CUUAAAUAAAUUUAAAAGCGACGGGCAAUAUGUGCAUAUUUAAUUUAAAAUUAAAAUAAAAAAUUUAUUAAAUUUUAAUUUUAAAUCCAAUUUCAAAACAAUUAUUUACAAUUGAAAAUUCAAAAUAAUUAUAAAUUAAUGUAUCUCAUUUUAAAUUUAAAUUAUAAUAUAUAUUAUGAUUUGAAUUUUAUUUUUUAAAAAUUAAUAAAAAUAAUUUUUUAAUAUUAUUUAUACAACAAUAUAUAAUAAAAAAAAAAAUUUAAUAAAUUUUAUUGUGAAUUAUCAAUUAAUAAACAAAAUCCUCUAAUUCUUUUAAAUACUACCAAAUUAUUUAAUUUUAAAUAUUUUAUUUAUUAAUUAUUAUUUAUUUUUAUUUUAAUAAUA